Molecule: ribosomal RNA, 270 nt
Filed under: uncultured Oscillospiraceae bacterium
Lineage: Bacteria; Bacillati; Bacillota; Clostridia; Eubacteriales; Oscillospiraceae
Description: partial 16S ribosomal RNA
Rfam family: Bacterial small subunit ribosomal RNA
Source: RNAcentral
AGUAGCUUGCUAUGAGCUGUUUUAGCGGCGGACGGGUGAGUAACGCGUGAGUAACCUGCCCUAGAGUGGGGGACAACAGUUGGAAACGACUGCUAAUACCACAUAAGCCCACGGUGCCGCAUGACACUGAGGGAAAAGGAGCAAUCCGCUUUGAGAUGGCCUCGCGUCCGAUUAGCUAGUUGGUGAGGUAACGGCCCACCAAGCCGACGAUCGGUAGCCGACCUGAGAGGGUGAUCGGCCACAUUGGGACUGAGACACGGCCCAGACUCC